GUCUACGGCCAUACUACCCUGAACGCGCCUGAUCUCGGAAGCUAAGCAGGGUCAGGCCUGGUUAGUACUUGGAUGGGAGACAUAAACC
This 88-nucleotide ribosomal RNA is filed under the name Octodon degus (degu). The record is from RNAcentral. Lineage: Eukaryota; Metazoa; Chordata; Mammalia; Rodentia; Octodontidae.